GACGAACGCUGGCGGCGUGCCUAAUACAUGCAAGUAGAACGCACAGUUUAUACCGUAGCUUGCUACACCAUAGACUGUGAGUUGCGAACGAGUGAGUAACGCGUAGGUAACCUGCCUGGUAGCGGGGGAUAACUAUUGGAAACGAUAGCUAAUACCGCAUAAUAUUGAUUAUUGCAUGAUAAUUGAUUGAAAGAUGCUAUUGCAUCACUACCAGAUGGACCUGCGUUGUAUUAGCUAGUAGGUGAGGUAACGGAUCAACUAGGCGACGAUACAUAGCCGACCUGAGAGGGUGAUCGGCCACACUGGGAAUGAGACAAGGCCCAGAAUCCUACGGGAGGGAGCAGGAGGGAAACUUCGGCAAUGGAAGAAAGGCUGAACGAGCAACGCCGCGUGAGUGAAGAAGGGUUUCGGAUCGGAAAGCUCUGUUGUAAGAGAAGAACGGGAGUGAGAGUGGAAAGUUCACACUGUGACGGUAGCUUACCAGAAAGGGACGGCUAACUACGUG
Molecule: ribosomal RNA, 505 nt
Filed under: uncultured bacterium
Lineage: Bacteria
Description: partial 16S ribosomal RNA
Rfam family: Bacterial small subunit ribosomal RNA
Source: RNAcentral